AAUGGACUCUCGAGCAGCAGGCAUACACAUGCAAGUCGAACGGUAACAGGAAGCAGCUUGCUGCUUCGCUGACGAGUGGCGGACGGGUGAGUAAUGUCUGGGAAACUGCCUGAUGGAGGGGGAUAACUACUGGAAACGGUGGCUAAUACCGCAUAACGUCGCAAAGACCCAAAGAAGGGGGACGCUUCGGGCCCUCUUGCCAUCAGAUGUGCCCAGAUGGGAUUAGCUUGUUGGUGAGGUAACGGCUCACCAAGGCGACGAUCCCUAGCUGGUCUGAGAGGAUGACCAGCCACACUGGAACUGAGACACGGUCCAGACUCCUACGGGAGGCAGCAGUGGGGAAUAUUGCACAAUGGGCGCAAGCCUGAUGCAGCCAUGCCGCGUGUAUGAAGAAGGCCUUCGGGUUGUAAAGUACUUUCAGCGGGGAGGAAGGUGUUGUGGUUAAUAACCGCAGCAAUUGACGUUACCCGCAGAAGAAGCACCGGCUAACUCCGUGCCAGCAGCCGCGGUAAUACGGAGGGUGCAAGCGUUAAUCGGAAUUACUGGGCGUAAAGCGCACGCAGGCGGUCUGUCAAGUCGGAUGUGAAAUCCCCGGGGCUCACCUGGGAACUGCAUUCGAAACUGGCAGGCUGAGUCUGUAGAGGGGGUAGAAUCCAGGUGUAGCGGUGAAUGCGUAAGAUCUGAGGANACGGUGCGAGGCGCCCCUGACAAGACUACCCAGUCGAAGCUGGACACGAUGUGGGUAAAAAANAA
Molecule: ribosomal RNA, 753 nt
Filed under: Salmonella sp. Veteran hospital_2007_08
Lineage: Bacteria; Pseudomonadati; Pseudomonadota; Gammaproteobacteria; Enterobacterales; Enterobacteriaceae
Description: bacterial SSU rRNA
Rfam family: Bacterial small subunit ribosomal RNA
Source: RNAcentral